CCUACGGGAGGCAGCAGUGGGGAAUAUUGCACAAUGGGCGCAAGCCUGAUGCAGCGACGCCGCGUGAGGGAUGACGGCCUUCGGGUUGUAAACCUCUUUCAGUAGGGAAGAAGCGAAAGUGACGGUACCUGCAGAAGAAGCGCCGGCUAACUACGUGCCAGCAGCCGCGGUAAUACGUAGGGCGCAAGCGUUAUCCGGAAUUAUUGGGCGUAAAGAGCUCGUAGGCGGUUUGUCGCGUCUGCCGUGAAAGUCCGGGGCUCAACUCCGGAUCUGCGGUGGUACGGGCAGACUAGAGUGAUGUAGGGGAGACUGGAAUUCCUGGUGUAGCGGUGAAAUGCGCAGAUAUCAGGAGGAACACCGAUGGCGAAGGCAGGUCUCUGGGCAUUAACUGACGCUGAGGAGCGAAAGCAUGGGGAGCGAACAGGAUUAGAUACCCUGGUAGUCCAUGCCGUAAACGUUGGGCACUAGGUNUGGGGACNUCNCGUUUCGCGCGUAGCUACGCAUAGUGCCGCCGCGGAGUACGGCCGCGACGACGUAAACUACAANAGAGUAGACGGCGNGAGACGUGCCGACGACGACGACGAGGGAGAGG
This 592-nucleotide ribosomal RNA is filed under the name uncultured bacterium. Its description in RNAcentral is "bacterial SSU rRNA". The stretch from base 1 to 513 matches the Rfam family "Bacterial small subunit ribosomal RNA", at positions 338 to 873 of the family's 1533-position model. The record is from RNAcentral.